GACGAACGCUGGCGGCACGCUUAACACAUGCAAGUCGAACGAGAGAAGAGAAGCUUGCUUUUCUGAUCUAGUGGCGGACGGGUGAGUAACACGUGAGCAAUCUGCCUUUCAGAGGGGGAUACCGAUUGGAAACGAUCGUUAAUACCGCAUAACAUAAUUGAACCGCAUGAUUUGAUUAUCAAAGAUUUAUCGCUGAAAGAUGAGCUCGCGUCUGAUUAGCUAGUUGGUAAGGUAACGGCUUACCAAGGCGACGAUCAGUAGCCGGACUGAGAGGUUGAUCGGCCACAUUGGGACUGAGACACUGCCCAGACUCCUACGGGAGGCAGCAGUGGGGAAUAUUGCACAAUGGAGGAAACUCUGAUGCAGUGAUGCCGCGUGAGGGAAGAAGGUUUUAGGAUUGUAAACCUCUGUCUUCAGGGACGAAAAAAGACGGUACCUGAGGAGGAAGCUCCGGCUAACUACGUG
This 465-nucleotide ribosomal RNA is filed under the name uncultured bacterium. RNAcentral describes it as "partial 16S ribosomal RNA". It matches the Rfam family "Bacterial small subunit ribosomal RNA", at positions 28 to 507 of the family's 1533-position model. The record is from RNAcentral.